Molecule: ribosomal RNA, 292 nt
Filed under: uncultured bacterium
Lineage: Bacteria
Description: partial 16S ribosomal RNA
Rfam family: Bacterial small subunit ribosomal RNA
Source: RNAcentral
GUGCCAGCCGCCGCGGUAAGACGUAGGGUGCGAGCGUUGUCCGGAUUUAUUGGGCGUAAAGAGCUCGUAGGCGGCUCGUCGCGUCAGCUGUGAAAACCCGCGGCUUAACUGUGGGCUUGCAGCUGAUACGGGCGGGCUAGAGUUCGGUAGGGGAGACUGGAAUUCCUGGUGUAGCGGUGAAAUGCGCAGAUAUCAGGAGGAACACCGGUGGCGAAGGCGGGUCUCUGGGCCGAUACUGACGCUGAGGAGCGAAAGCGUGGGGAGCGAACAGGAUUAGAAACCCCGGUAGUCC